ACAAAGCGUUGCCAAAGCGCGAGCUGGAGCUAAUCGCAUCAAAGCCGGCCUCAGUUCGGAUUGGAGGCUGCAACCCGCCUCCAUGAAGUUGGAGUUGCUAGUAAACGCCGGUCAGCUAUACGGCGUUGAAUGCGUUCCGGGCCUU
This 145-nucleotide ribosomal RNA is filed under the name uncultured Caldilineaceae bacterium. Its description in RNAcentral is "partial 16S ribosomal RNA". It matches the Rfam family "Bacterial small subunit ribosomal RNA", at positions 1239 to 1382 of the family's 1533-position model. Lineage: Bacteria; Bacillati; Chloroflexota; Caldilineae; Caldilineales; Caldilineaceae. The record is from RNAcentral.